GGAAUGGUGGUGCAGUUGGCAGCACCCCCGUCUGUCCGUCAAGCGGGUGACCUGAGUUCGAUUCUUAGUCAUUCCU
RNAcentral lists this transfer RNA (76 nucleotides) under Acanthamoeba castellanii str. Neff. It matches the Rfam family "tRNA". Rfam says of the family: Transfer RNA (tRNA) molecules are approximately 80 nucleotides in length. Their secondary structure includes four short double-helical elements and three loops (D, anti-codon, and T loops). The record is from Rfam by way of RNAcentral. Lineage: Eukaryota; Discosea; Longamoebia; Acanthamoebidae.